RNAcentral lists this ribosomal RNA (1095 nucleotides) under uncultured bacterium. RNAcentral's name for it is "bacterial SSU rRNA". It matches the Rfam family "Bacterial small subunit ribosomal RNA", at positions 443 to 1533 of the family's 1533-position model. The record is from RNAcentral.
ACAGGUGAUAGAGUAACUGUCAUCAUCUUGACGGUAUCCAACCAGAAAGCCACGGCUAACUACGUGCCAGCAGCCGCGGUAAUACGUAGGUGGCAAGCGUUGUCCGGAUUUAUUGGGCGUAAAGCGAGCGCAGGCGGUUUUUUAGGUCUGAUGUGAAAGCCUUCGGCUUAACCGGAGAAGGGCAUCGGAAACCGGGAGACUUGAGUGCAGAAGAGGACAGUGGAACUCCAUGUGUAGCGGUGAAAUGCGUAGAUAUAUGGAAGAACACCAGUGGCGAAGGCGGCUGUCUGGUCUGUAACUGACGCUGAGGCUCGAAAGCAUGGGUAGCGAACAGGAUUAGAUACCCUGGUAGUCCAUGCCGUAAACGAUGAGUGCUAAGUGUUGGAGGGUUUCCGCCCUUCAGUGCUGCAGCUAACGCAUUAAGCACUCCGCCUGGGGAGUACGACCGCAAGGUUGAAACUCAAAGGAAUUGACGGGGGCCCGCACAAGCGGUGGAGCAUGUGGUUUAAUUCGAUGCUACGCGAAGAACCUUACCAGGUCUUGACAUCUUCUGCUAACCUAAGAGAUUAGGCGUUCCCUUCGGGGACGGAAUGACAGGUGGUGCAUGGUUGUCGUCAGCUCGUGUCGUGAGAUGUUGGGUUAAGUCCCGCAACGAGCGCAACCCUUAUUGUCAGUUGCCAGCAUUUAGUUGGGUACUCUGGCGAGACUGCUGGUGACAAACCGGAGGAAGGUGGGGAUGACGUCAAAUCAUCAUGCCCCUUAUGACCUGGGCUACACACGUGCUACAAUGGACGGUACAACGAGUCGCGAAACCGCGAGGUCAAGCUAAUCUCUUAAAGCCGUUCUCAGUUCGGAUUGCAGGCUGCAACUCGCCUGCAUGAAGUUGGAAUCGCUAGUAAUCGUGGAUCAGCAUGCCACGGUGAAUACGUUCCCGGGCCUUGUACACACCGCCCGUCACACCAUGAGAGUUUGUAACACCCAAAGCCGGUGAGGUAACCUUCGGGAACCAGCCGUCUAAGGUGGGACAGAUGAUUGGGGUGAAGUCGUAACAAGGUAGCCGUAUCGGAAGGUGCGGCUGGAUCACCUCCUUUCUAA